RNAcentral lists this ribosomal RNA (505 nucleotides) under uncultured bacterium. RNAcentral describes it as "bacterial SSU rRNA". It matches the Rfam family "Bacterial small subunit ribosomal RNA", at positions 24 to 518 of the family's 1533-position model. The record is from RNAcentral.
UCAGGGUGAACGCUAGCUACAGGCUUAACACAUGCAAGUCGAGGGGCAGCAUAUCGAAAGCUUGCUUUGAUGAUGGCGACCGGCGCACGGGUGAGUAACGCGUAUCCAACCUUCCCUAUACUAGAGGAUAGCCCGGCGAAAGUCGGAUUAAUACUCUAUGUUCUUCGUAGAAGACAUCUGAAAUGAAGCAAAGGUUUACCGGUAUAGGAUGGGGAUGCGUCUGAUUAGGUUGUUGGCGGGGUAACGGCCCACCAAGCCCACGAUCAGUAGGGGUUCUGAGAGGAAGGUCCCCCACAUUGGAACUGAGACACGGUCCAAACUCCUACGGGAGGCAGCAGUGAGGAAUAUUGGUCAAUGGACGAGAGUCUGAACCAGCCAAGUAGCGUGCAAGGAUGACGGCCCUAUGGGUUGUAAACUGCUUUUAUACAGGGAUAAAGUGCACUACGUGUAGUGUUUUGUAGGUACUGUAUGAAUAAGGACCGGCUAAUUCCGUGCCAGCCGCAGC